Papilio machaon (common yellow swallowtail) is the source of this 303-nucleotide long non-coding RNA. RefSeq lists it as uncharacterized. Lineage: Eukaryota; Metazoa; Arthropoda; Insecta; Lepidoptera; Papilionidae. The transcript has 3 exons. The record is from RefSeq and is a predicted model, not a curated record.
CACUUCCAUACUUCUGGUAAUAGACUUACAGCCAAUAGCAUUCCUACUUUAAAUUUAUUUGUUAAUGAUGGGAGUAUACCUGUUACUGGCCUGGAACAUCAAACUGUUCCUGAUGUUAUUUCUGUACAAAUACCUUCAUUCUCACGUGGAACAAAAAAAGUAUUUGCAAAGAAAGGAUUCUAAAUGGCAAAAGCACAAAUUUCAACAGAGAGGACAACAUUAAACUCCAGGCGGAAAAAUAUUAUAAGACACGUAUUCUUAAAAAUAAAAAGAAAUAAUACAACAAAUUGCGUUUUCUUUAUC